Molecule: ribosomal RNA, 274 nt
Filed under: uncultured bacterium
Lineage: Bacteria
Description: partial 16S ribosomal RNA
Rfam family: Bacterial small subunit ribosomal RNA
Source: RNAcentral
AUACGGAGGGUGCAAGCGUUAAUCGGAAUUACUGGGCGUAAAGCGUGCGUAGGUGGUUUGUUAAGUCAGAUGUGAAAGCCCCGGGCUCAACCUGGGAACUGCAUUUGAAACUGGCAUACUAGAGUAUAGGAGAGGAAAGUGGAAUUUCAGGUGUAGCGGUGAAAUGCGUAGAUAUCUGAAGGAACAUCAAUGGCGAAGGCAGCUUUCUGGACUAAUACUGACACUGAGGUACGAAAGCGUGGGUAGCAAACAGGAUUAGAUACCCCAGUAGUCC